CUCAAAUGUUCUGCAUUGUCGCCUUUGGAGCUGCUCAGAUAAUCCUGAUCACCGUAAUGGCUUAUGAUCGCUAUGUUGCCAUAAAUAACCCUCUCCGUUACAAAGCUGUGAUGAGUUGGGCGAUCUGUAAGAUGUUCCUUACUAUUACAUUAAUAUUUAGUUGUGCCAUGGCCUUUUUAAUGGUAUUUUCUGUAUUUACUCUCCCGUUUUGUGAUGAAUUAG
This is a non-coding RNA of Pelobates cultripes (western spadefoot toad), 222 nucleotides long. Lineage: Eukaryota; Metazoa; Chordata; Amphibia; Anura; Pelobatidae. The record is from the annotation of a GenBank genome assembly.